GCUCGAGUGGCGAACGGGUGAGUAACACGUGAGUAACCUGCCCUUGACUUUGGGAUAACUUCAGGAAACUGGGGCUAAUACCGGAUAGGAGCUCCUGCUGCAUGGUGGGGGUUGGAAAGUUUCGGCGGUUGGGGAUGGACUCGCGGCUUAUCAGCUUGUUGGUGGGGUAGUGGCUGACCAAGGCUUUGACGGGUAGCCGGCCUGAGAGGGUGACCGGCCACAUUGGGACUGAGAUACGGCCCAG
This 244-nucleotide ribosomal RNA is filed under the name uncultured Actinomycetales bacterium. Its description in RNAcentral is "partial 16S ribosomal RNA". It matches the Rfam family "Bacterial small subunit ribosomal RNA", at positions 89 to 334 of the family's 1533-position model. Lineage: Bacteria; Bacillati; Actinomycetota; Actinomycetes; Actinomycetales. The record is from RNAcentral.